This 1347-nucleotide ribosomal RNA is filed under the name metagenome. RNAcentral's name for it is "bacterial LSU rRNA". It matches the Rfam family "Bacterial large subunit ribosomal RNA", at positions 1564 to 2925 of the family's 2925-position model. The record is from RNAcentral.
UGAGUGCGAGCUGCUACGGCAGCGAAGUUGGUGAUGUCAUGCUUCCAAGAAAAGCCCUAUACCCGUUAAGGCAUCAUGGCCUGUACCCGAAACCGACACAGGUGGGGUGGUAGGGAAUACCGAGGGGCGCGAGGUAACUCUCUCUAAGGAACUCGGCAAAAUGGCCCCGUAACUUCGGGAGAAGGGGUGCCACCGCAAGGUGGUCGCAGUGAAGAGGCCCAGGCGACUGUUUACCAAAAACACAGGUCUCCGCUAAGUCGCAAGACGAUGUAUGGGGGCUGACGCCUGCCCAGUGCCGGAAGGUUAAGGAAGCUGGUCAGCGCAAGCGAAGCUAGCGACUGAAGCCCCGGUGAACGGCGGCCGUAACUAUAACGGUCCUAAGGUAGCGAAAUUCCUUGUCGGGUAAGUUCCGACCCGCACGAAAGGCGUAACGAUCUGGGCGCUGUCUCGGAGAGAGACUCGGCGAAAUAGAAUUGUCUGUGAAGAUGCGGACUACGUGCACCCGGACAGAAAGACCCUAUGAAGCUUUACUGUAGCUUGGUAUUGUGCCCGGGCUCGCAAUGCGCAGGAUAGGUGGGAGGCUUUGAUCAUCGGCUUGCGGGUCGAUGUGAGCCAACGGUGAGAUACCACUCUUUGCGAGCUAGGGUUCUAACGGCCACCCGUCAUCCGGGGGCCGGACAGUACCUGGUGGGCAGUUUGACUGGGGCGGUCGCCUCCUAAAAGGUAACGGAGGCGCGCAAAGGUUUGCUCAGGCUGGUUGGAAAUCAGCCGACGAGUGUAAAAGCAGAAGCAAGCUUGACUGUGAGACCAACAAGUCGAACAGGGAGGAAACUCGGCUUUAGUGAUCCGACGGUUCUGAGUGGAAGGGCCGUCGCUCAACGGAUAAAAGUUACUCUAGGAUAACGGGCUGAUCUCCCCCAAGAGUUCACAUCGACGGGGAGGUUUGGCACCUCGAUGUCGGCUCAUCGCAACCUGGGGCUGAAGUCGGUCCCAAGGGUUGGGCUGUUCGCCCAUUAAAGCGGUACGCGAGCUGGGUUCAGAACGUCGUGAGACAGUUCGGUCCAUAUCCGGUGCACGCGCAGGAAUAUUGAGAGGAUUUCUCCCUAGUACGAGAGGACCGGGAGGAACGCACCUCUGGUGUACCAGUUAUCGUGCCAACGGUAAACGCUGGGUAGCCAUGUGCGGAGUGGAUAACCGCUGAAAGCAUCUAAGUGGGAAGCCCACCUCAAGAUGAGUAUUCCCAUGGCGUAAGCCAGUAAGGUCACGGGAAGAACACCCGUUGAUAGGCUCUAUGUGGAAGCGCAGUAAUGCGUGAAGCAGAGGAGUACUAAUAGACCGAGGGCUUGA